RNAcentral lists this ribosomal RNA (492 nucleotides) under uncultured bacterium. RNAcentral describes it as "partial 16S ribosomal RNA". It matches the Rfam family "Bacterial small subunit ribosomal RNA", at positions 29 to 507 of the family's 1533-position model. The record is from RNAcentral.
AGUGAACGCUGGCGGUAGGCCUAACACAUGCAAGUCGAACGGCAGCACAGUAAGGGCUUGCUCUUACGGGUGGCGAGUGGCGGACGGGUGAGGAAUACAUCGGAAUCUACUUUUUCGUGGGGGAUAACGUAGAGAAACUUACGCUAAUACCGCAUACGACCUACGGGUGAAAGCAGGGGAUCUUCGGACCUUGCGCGAUUGAAUGAGCCGAUGUCGGAUUAGCUAGUUGGCGGGGUAAAGGCCCACCAAGGCGACGAUCCGUAGCUGGUCUGAGAGGAUGAUCAGCCACACUGGAACUGAGACACGGUCCAGACUCCUACGGGAGGCAGCAGUGGGGAAUAUUGGACAAUGGGCGCAAGCCUGAUCCAGCCAUACCGCGUGGGUGAAGAAGGCCUUCGGGUUGUAAAGCCCUUUUGUUGGGAAAGAAAAGCAGCAGGUUAAUACCCCGCUGUUCUGACGGUACCCAAAGAAUAAGCACCGGCUAACUUCGUG